RNAcentral lists this ribosomal RNA (253 nucleotides) under uncultured bacterium. RNAcentral describes it as "partial 16S ribosomal RNA". It matches the Rfam family "Bacterial small subunit ribosomal RNA", at positions 524 to 776 of the family's 1533-position model. The record is from RNAcentral.
UACAGAGGGGGCGAGCGUUAUUCGGAAUUAUUGGGCGUAAAGGGCGCGUAGGCGGCCUGGCAAGUGGAAGGUGAAAUCCCUCGGCUUAACCGAGGAACUGCCCUCCAAACUGCUUGGCUUGAGACCGGGAGAGGUGAGUGGAAUUCCCAGUGUAGCGGUGAAAUGCGUAGAUAUUGGGAGGAACACCAGUGGCGAAGGCGGCUCACUGGACCGGUACUGACGCUGAGGCGCGAAAGCGUGGGGAGCAAACGGG